UUAAUUGAAACCAAAAUAGAGGUAUAUUACUGUUAAUAAUAAAAAUGGGAUUUAUCCCCAAUUAAA
This 66-nucleotide transfer RNA is filed under the name Chrysotimus molliculus. RNAcentral describes it as "tRNA-Asn". The record is from RNAcentral. Lineage: Eukaryota; Metazoa; Arthropoda; Insecta; Diptera; Dolichopodidae.